This 792-nucleotide transfer RNA is filed under the name uncultured Synechococcus sp. RNAcentral's name for it is "16S-23S ribosomal RNA intergenic spacer". The stretch from base 265 to 337 matches the Rfam family "tRNA". The record is from RNAcentral. Lineage: Bacteria; Bacillati; Cyanobacteriota; Cyanophyceae; Synechococcales; Synechococcaceae.
AGGGAGACAAACAACGAUUUUGAUGUCUGAGUAUUUUAUUCUUAGGCCGAAAUCCUGUCACCUUAGGUCGAUCGGUACCUCAGUUUUGAAGUUAAGGAUCAGCAGUAAUGUUGAUCGCUUGAUGGAGAUUUUCAGUUCCUAAACUUUGUCUAGGUCACACCCCAAAAGGGAUGAGACUCCUGGGCCAUUAGCUCAGGUGGUUAGAGCGCACCCCUGAUAAGGGUGAGGUCCCUGGUUCAAGUCCAGGAUGGCCCAUUCGGUGUUGGGGGUUUAGCUCAGUUGGUAGAGCGCCUGCUUUGCAAGCAGGAUGUCAGGAGUUCGAGUCUCCUAACCUCCACUGACCGAACUUUGUCCCAUCUCCAGAAUAUGGAGUUGAGCUCGAUUGGAGUGUGAUUUAGAUUUGUCCGCUGGAUGACCCCAGCUUCCUGUCAUUCCGAUGAAUGCAGUCAAGCAAUUGACUGAACGCAUUGGCUGAUAAGAUGCUGGGCUCGAGUCAGAUGAUCAAGCAAUUGAUGAUUUGAUUUGUGCUCUAGCAGAACCUUGACAACUGCAUAGGUGAGUCUGGAAAAAACAAAGCAUCUUACAGAUGCAUUGUUUUGAAUCUGAUCUUCCGCAAGGGAGAUUGGAUCUAGAACAAUGAAAAUUCUUUUGAGCAAGAGCCGAGACUCUUGAGCGUUCUUUGAUUCGUGUCGAGCGAAUCAGAGUUUGAUUUUGUUUUAGGAAUCAACGAAAGUUGGUGAUUAAAACCUAAGAAUCUGCUUUCAACGGCGGUAAGCGUUCAGGAGGUUAAUU